Molecule: non-coding RNA, 72 nt
Organism: Phthorimaea operculella (potato tuberworm)
Lineage: Eukaryota; Metazoa; Arthropoda; Insecta; Lepidoptera; Gelechiidae
Source: the annotation of a GenBank genome assembly
GCAUCGAUAGCUCAGUGGCAGAGCGGUGGGGCGUUUACCCAUGCGGCCCGGGUUCGAUUCCCGGUCGAUAUA